RNAcentral lists this ribosomal RNA (459 nucleotides) under Tetraselmis sp. RCC127. Its description in RNAcentral is "SSU rRNA". It matches the Rfam family "Eukaryotic small subunit ribosomal RNA", at positions 543 to 1007 of the family's 1831-position model. The record is from RNAcentral. Lineage: Eukaryota; Viridiplantae; Chlorophyta; Chlorodendrophyceae; Chlorodendrales; Chlorodendraceae.
AUCCAUUGGAGGGCAAGUCUGGUGCCAGCAGCCGCGGUAAUUCCAGCUCCAAUAGCGUAUAUUUAAGUUGCUGCAGUUAAAAAGCUCGUAGUUGGAUUUCGGAUGGGAUUUGCCGGUCCGCCGUUUCGGUGUGCACUGGCCAGUCCCAUCUUGUUGUCGGGGACUAGCUCNUGGGCUUCACUGUCCGGGACUAGGAGCUGACGAGGUUACUUUGAGUAAAUUAGAGUGUUCAAAGCAAGCCUACGCUCUGAAUACAUUAGCAUGGAAUAACAUGAUAGGACUCUGGCUUAUCUUGUUGGUCUGUGAGACCAGAGUAAUGAUUAAGAGGGACAGUCGGGGGCAUUCGUAUUUCAUUGUCAGAGGUGAAAUUCUUGGAUUUAUGAAAGACGAACUUCUGCGAAAGCAUUUGUCAAGGAUGUUUUCAUUAAUCAAGAACGAAAGUUGGGGGCUCGAAGACGA